AUUGAACGCUGGCGGCAGGCCUAACACAUGCAAGUCGAGCGGUAACACAGGGAGCUUGCUCCCGGGUGACGAGCGGCGGACGGGUGAGUAAUGUCUGGGAAACUGCCUGAUGGAGGGGGAUAACUACUGGAAACGGUAGCUAAUACCGCAUAAUGUCGCAAGACCAAAGAGGGGGACCUUCGGGCCUCUUGCCAUCAGAUGUGCCCAGAUGGGAUUAGCUAGUAGGUGGGGUAACGGCUCACCUAGGCGACGAUCCCUAGCUGGUCUGAGAGGAUGACCAGCCACACAGGAACUGAGACACGGUCCAGACUCCUACGGGAGGCAGCAGUGGGGAAUAUUGCACAAUGGGCGCAAGCCUGAUGCAGCCAUGCCGCGUGUAUGAAGAAGGCCUUCGGGUUGUAAAGUACUUUCAGCGGGGAGGAAGGCGAUAAGGCUAAUAACCUUGUCGAUUGACGUUACCCGCAGAAGAAGCACCGGCUAACUCCGUGCCAGCCGCCGCAGUAA
RNAcentral lists this ribosomal RNA (504 nucleotides) under uncultured bacterium. RNAcentral describes it as "partial 16S ribosomal RNA". It matches the Rfam family "Bacterial small subunit ribosomal RNA", at positions 30 to 523 of the family's 1533-position model. The record is from RNAcentral.